UUGACCUACGGGACGCAGCAGUGGGGAAUAUUGGGCAAUGGGCGCAAGCCUGACCCAGCAACGCCGCGUGAAGGAAGAAGGCUUUCGGGUUGUAAACUUCUUUUAAGAGGGAAGAGAAGAAGACGGUACCUCUUGAAUAAGCCACGGCUAACUACGUGCCAGCAGCCGCGGUAAUACGUAGGUGGCAAGCGUUAUCCGGAUUUACUGGGUGUAAAGGGAGCGUAGGCGGCAAGGUAAGCCAGAAGUGAAAGCCCGCGGCUCAACUGCGGGACUGCUUUUGGAACUAUCUAGCUAGAUUGCAGGAG
This 305-nucleotide ribosomal RNA is filed under the name uncultured bacterium. RNAcentral describes it as "bacterial SSU rRNA". It matches the Rfam family "Bacterial small subunit ribosomal RNA", at positions 334 to 654 of the family's 1533-position model. The record is from RNAcentral.